UAAUAGAAUAAAUAAUAUUUCAGCAAAGAUUCAUGUUAGAUUGUUUGGUUGAUUUUAAUUGUCAUAAAAUUCCCUGUCCUUGUUGCAUCUGCCACAAGUAAAAAUUGAUUUGUGUACAGGGAAAGUGUAAUGAAAAAGGAUCUGUUUUUAUGAAAACUGCAUAUAAAAUGCCAUUCUCCAUUAAUGAAGAUUAAUUAUUAACUUGGCUUUUACGUUUUGCUACUGUGGAAAAUUCAGUAUACAGGAAACAACAUUGAUAUGCAGGACUGGGUAUGCCUCUGAUAUGGAAGAAGUUAUUUCAUAGGCUUUGGAUUUUGGUACCAAAUCAAGAGUUGGUAUUUAGAUGAU
Phyllostomus discolor (pale spear-nosed bat) is the source of this 348-nucleotide long non-coding RNA. RefSeq lists it as uncharacterized. The record is from RefSeq and is a predicted model, not a curated record. The transcript is spliced from 3 exons. NCBI's taxonomy places the organism in Eukaryota, Metazoa, Chordata, Mammalia, Chiroptera, Phyllostomidae.